RNAcentral lists this unclassified non-coding RNA (180 nucleotides) under Halorubrum vacuolatum. RNAcentral describes it as "HgcC family RNA". Lineage: Archaea; Methanobacteriati; Methanobacteriota; Halobacteria; Halobacteriales; Haloferacaceae. The record is from RNAcentral.
GAAGGCCCCAUUGACAGGGCUACACGCGCUAUAACGCACACCGUUGGUCACAACUCGGUGGCAACCGUCGACGGGUCACGCGAAAGCGUACUUGAACCCCGAGGAAACGCGCAACCUGAAUAUCCACUUCGUGGAAUCCUCGCCCUUUAGGGCGGGGAGGAUGUCAACAGAACGCAGAUC